RNAcentral lists this ribosomal RNA (1337 nucleotides) under uncultured bacterium. RNAcentral describes it as "16S ribosomal RNA". It matches the Rfam family "Bacterial small subunit ribosomal RNA", at positions 28 to 1386 of the family's 1533-position model. The record is from RNAcentral.
GACGAACGCUGGCGGCGCGCCUAACACAUGCAAGUCGAACGAGCGAGAGAGAGCUUGCUUUCUCGAGCGAGUGGCGAACGGGUGAGUAACGCGUGAGGAACCUGCCUCAAAGAGGGGGACAACAGUUGGAAACGACUGCUAAUACCGCAUAAGCCCACGGGUCGGCAUCGACCAGAGGGAAAAGGAGCAAUCCGCUUUGAGAUGGCCUCGCGUCCGAUUAGCUAGUUGGUGAGGUAACGGCCCACCAAGGCGACGAUCGGUAGCCGGACUGAGAGGUUGAACGGCCACAUUGGGACUGAGACACGGCCCAGACUCCUACGGGAGGCAGCAGUGGGGAAUAUUGCACAAUGGGGGAAACCCUGAUGCAGCGACGCCGCGUGGAGGAAGAAGGUCUUCGGAUUGUAAACUCCUGUUGUUGGGGAAGAUAAUGACGGUACCCAACAAGGAAGUGACGGCUAACUACGUGCCAGCAGCCGCGGUAAAACGUAGGUCACAAGCGUUGUCCGGAAUUACUGGGUGUAAAGGGAGCGCAGGCGGGAAGACAAGUUGGAAGUGAAAUCUAUGGGCUCAACCCAUAAACUGCUUUCAAAACUGUUUUUCUUGAGUAGUGCAGAGGUAGGCGGAAUUCCCGGUGUAGCGGUGGAAUGCGUAGAUAUCGGGAGGAACACCAGUGGCGAAGGCGGCCUACUGGGCACCAACUGACGCUGAGGCUCGAAAGUGUGGGUAGCAAACAGGAUUAGAUACCCUGGUAGUCCACACCGUAAACGAUGAUUACUAGGUGUUGGAGGAGUGACCCCCUCAGUGCCGCAGUUAACACAAUAAGUAAUCCACCUGGGGAGUACGACCGCAAGGUUGAAACUCAAAGGAAUUGACGGGGGCCCGCACAAGCAGUGGAGUAUGUGGUUUAAUUUGACGCAACGCGAAGAACCUUACCAAGUCUUGACAUCCCUUGACAGGCAUAGAAAUAUGUUUUCUCUUCGGAGCAAGGAGACAGGUGGUGCAUGGUUGUCGUCAGCUCGUGUCGUGAGAUGUUGGGUUAAGUCCCGCAACGAGCGCAACCCUUAUGGUCAGUUACUACGCAAGAGGACUCUGGCCAGACUGCCGUUGACAAAACGGAGGAAGGUGGGGAGGACGUCAAAUCAUCAUGCCCUCUAUGACUUGGGGUACACACGUACUACAAUGGCGUUAAACAAAGAGAAGCGAGACCGCGAGGUGGAGCAAAACUCAGAAACAACGUCCCAGUUCGGAGUGCAGGCUGCAACUCGCCUGCACGAAGUCGGAAUUGCUAGUAAUCGUGGAUCAGCAUGCCACGGUGAAUACGUUCCCGGGCCUUGCAC